RNAcentral lists this small nuclear RNA (36 nucleotides) under Cervus elaphus hippelaphus. The record is from RNAcentral. Lineage: Eukaryota; Metazoa; Chordata; Mammalia; Artiodactyla; Cervidae.
AUCACUUCUCGGCCUUUUGGCUAAGAUCAAGUGUAG